RNAcentral lists this ribosomal RNA (142 nucleotides) under Ligilactobacillus salivarius. RNAcentral's name for it is "Lactobacillus salivarius partial 16S ribosomal RNA". Lineage: Bacteria; Bacillati; Bacillota; Bacilli; Lactobacillales; Lactobacillaceae. The record is from RNAcentral.
GAUCGUAGAUAAAUUACUUCCUCGGUCUUUGUAAGCCCGCCCGUCCACCAUGAAGAGUUUGUAACACCCAAGCCGGUGCCCUUAUUACAAAAAGUUCCAGCCGACUAAGGGGGACAGAUGAUUGCCUGUGAAGUCGUAACAA